Long non-coding RNA from Chelonia mydas (Green sea turtle), 13240 nucleotides. RefSeq lists it as uncharacterized. The record is from RefSeq and is a predicted model, not a curated record. The transcript has 2 exons. NCBI's taxonomy places the organism in Eukaryota, Metazoa, Chordata, Testudines, Cheloniidae.
GGCUACUUAAGACAGAUGCUUGCCUCUUGGAGGUGGGAUGCAUGGUGCAGGGUUCACUGUACCAGUUUGUGUCUAAAAUUAGUCAUUUUUUUUGUUUUUUUGUAAAAGCUUUGGUUUGGUAUGUGUUGAGAGGGUUAAGGUAGGGUAGGAUUGUGCAAAUAAGGCAUUGCAUUUUCAUCUUUUUCAAAAUAAAUGUAAGGGUUUAUUUUACUCUUAACAGUUGACUAUAUUUUUAUCUAUGACCCUUCCACAACCUGAAUCAAUCUAUUAUACUAGAACAAGCAAUAAACCUGUGUGUAUGUGUGUGUCUAUAUGGGAUACACAAACAUAAACUCCCACAUGAAAAUGCCUCUAAAACACAAGGCUUACUUUUAAAAUUAGAAAACUGGCUCCUCUGCCUUCCCUCUCCAAUGCUGAUACCUUUAACCAGCCACCUCUCCUGUCGAAUUGGUUCAAAAACAUUACUUUUUUUUCCCCUUCCCCUGCUUUUCUGGAAUCUCUUUGAAGUCAUUAUGCACUCACGCAUUCUUGUCCCUUAUACAGUGAAACAGGAAACUCUCUGGGCUAAUUUCAGAAAGUGGAGUGCAUAUUUGUAUUCAGUAAAAUAUCUCUUUGUUAGCAACAUGUAAAACUCACGGAGUGCCCUAACCCAUGAAGCCAUAUUCAUGUGCAUGGCUCUUGCUCGUACCUGUAGUUCUGAUCACUUUAAAUAAUAAUUAGUAAAGAUAUUUGCAGAAACUACUAUAUAGUCUUUCUUUACCAUAAAUCCUUGUUAAAAUGUUCCUUGACUAUUUUUUAUUAGACUAGAAGUCAAAACCAUUUUAAUUUACCGAAAGACAACAAAAGCCAAACAGCAUCCCAAUCAAAACAGUGCUGCUGAUUAUUUUGUACUAUCGUAAAACAGUUCUAGAUCUUGCACUAUAUUGUGCAAGCUGAAGACGUAAGUGAUGAAUGAGGAAGUGGUCAGUUAAUUUUAAGCAACAUCUCUCAACUUUCUCGUGCUUGUUUUUUAUUUUUAAAUAAAUAUUAAACUGUUCAGAUAUUUUAACAAAUGUUAAAACCCAAAUUACCACCUCCUUCUCCCCUCCUCCCCAAAAAAUGGUUUAACUGAACUUCUGUUCUUCACUUAACUAGUUAUACCCAACUAUGAUUAUGGUUUCCAAAUAGUGGGUGAUUUUUAUGUAUUAAGGCCCUACUUUUGUGUGUGUUUGCACAACUCUGUCCAAGCACACAUGUACGUAGUUACUUUUCCAGUGCUAAUUCCUUUGUGUGCAAUUAACCACUUUGCAGCGUGCAAAACCAUCACCUGUGUCUUCAGGCGGUAGAAUCUUAUCUAUUAAUUGCCCUAGCAAGUGUUAGUGCUAGAAAAGUGUGUGUGGAGAGUUGCACAUAUAUGCAAGUGAAAGCCAGUGUGAUGGUGCACUGAAAACGUGGGCCCAAAUGUGCUGCAGUAAGUACCAUAAAGUGGGUUGAAGCAGAGAUUAGUGGCCUAUUUUUCAGAAGUGCUGAGCACCUGCAGCUCUUGGUGAAGAAGAGGCUAUCUAGCGCCCCUGAAAAUCACAUCAUAUAUGUCUGAACUUGGAAUUUCCUUGCUUUUGUAAGGUUGUUAAAUAGUAAGUGUCUUAAAUGUAGUCUAAAAGUUGUUGAGGCAAUCUGAGAGCAGUUAUACUGUGUAGAGUGGAUGGCUUAGCAACCAAGCAUCAAGUCUGAAACAGUAGGCUAUCGCUGCAUUUUAAAUCCCAGAAAGGUCAACGCAGACUUUCUCUGAGUUAGAGUGACUCAGUUUUAGUACAUGGGGAUCUUUAGAGAGACACCUUAAAAGCAGAUUUCUGCUCUGUGUGCUUCCUAAUGAUACAAUAAUGCUCCUUCUCAUAGGAACAGGAUUUGUUCUUGCCCAACAUAUCCCACUGCUUCAUUAUUGAGCAGCAUGCUCUGUGUCAGUUGUCCAAGUGGCUAUCAUCGCUAUCCCAGACACGGUUGCAUUUCUGUGACAAAGUGUUAUAUCUGACAUACUCUAGGAUGAAGGACACUAUAGAAGCAGUUAUUUAUAUGAUAAGUUUUAUAGCUACCCUGGUAAACAUUCAUUUUGACUGUAUUCAGUCUUACAACUCUUUUAUACCGUACCAGUUUUUUUACAAUAGUAAAUUAGAAACUAGUACAGUAGUGCAGUGUCUGUGCAGGCAUUUGCAGCUACUCUCAUGCGGCUUUGGACAGUAGAUUAAUAGAAGGACAGAAAGUAUCAUUGUGAUCAUCUAGUCUGACUUCCUGCAUAACACAGUCCAUAGGACUUCCGGCAGCUAAUGACUGCUUCAAGUGCAAUAGUUGUGGUUGAACUAGAGUAUAUCUUUUAGAAAAAUAUUGAGUCUUGUUUUUAACAUUUCUGGGGUGGAGAAUCCAUCAUACUCUUUGAUAAAUUGUUUCAGUGAUUAAUUACACUCAUUUUUAAAAAAUAAUUAUGCCUUAUUUCUAGUCUGAAUUGGGGGGGGGGGGGGGCCGCGCGGGUCCUGGCUUCAACUUCUAUCCAUUGGAUCUUGUUAUACCUUUUGUCUGCUAGAUUUAAUAGCCUGGUGUUAUCAAACUUCUGUUUGUAGGUACUUCUAGACUGUGAUCACAUUACCCCUUAAUCUUCUUUUGAUAACCUAAAUGGAUUGAGCUCCUUAAGUCUCACUAUAAGGCAUGUUUACCAAUCCUUUAAUCGGUCUCAUGGCUUUUCUCUGAAUCUUCUCCAAUUUUUCAACCUCCUUCUUGAAAUAUAUGCACAUGAAUUGCUCACAGUAUUCCAAGUAAGUCACAGCAGUGCUAAAUGCAGAGGUACUAUGACUUCUCUACUCUUACUUAAUAUACCCAUGCUUAUAAAUCCCGGGAUCAUAUUUGCUCCUUUUCGCCACAGCAUCAUACUGCAAGCUCAUGUUUAGAUGAUUAUCCACAAUGCCAGAGUUACUGCUUCUCAGAGUCUCCCAUUCUGGAGGCAUGGCCUGUAUUUUUUGUUCCCAGAUGUAUGUCUUUACAUUUGCCCAUAAUAAAACACUUGGCUAUAUUAAAAAUAUUGUUUGCUUGAGCCCAGUUUACCAAGCAAUCCAGAUCACUGUAUCACUGACCGGUCCUCUGCAUUAUUUACCCACUACCCCAGUCUUUGUCAUCUGCAUACUUCAUCAGUAACCAUUUUAUAUUUUCUUCCAGGUCAUUGAUAAGUAUUGCAGGAUCCCAUAAUGAACAUUCCCACUCAUUGAGUAUUUCAUGUUAACAAUUUACAUUUUGAGACCUAUCAGUUAGUUUUGAAUCCAUGUUGACUUUAUAUCAUUCUUAUUUCUUAAUCAGAGUGUUGUACAGAGUCAAGUCAAAUGCCUUACAGAAGUCUAUUACAUCAACACUGUUACCUUUAUCAACCAAACUUGUAAUCUCAUCAAAACAUGAUAUAAUUUAUACUAGAAUCUAAAAUAGUUAGAAUGGGAAGGUUGACCAAGGAAGAUGGUUGUUUUGUUUUUUUUUUUUUUUUUUUUUUUUUUUUUUUUUGGUGCCAUACAAUUUUUAACCUCUGCCAGAGUGGGGCUGUAAUUUCUCAGCCAAAGUAUGCCAUCUCUAGAUAGGGCAGCCUUUUACCUCUACCCUGCCCUGUAAUAUAGUCACUGGGGAUAUACAUAUGAUCUAGCACAGGGUUUCUCAACCCAUGGGUUGGGACCCAAAAAGGGGUCACCAGAAUGUUUCAAAGGAUUGCCUGGCAACUUCUGUGGUUCCUGUCCCACAGGGCUGGCUGGGAUCGCCUCCCUGCUCCAGGCACUGCAACCUCUGGGGUCCCAGCACCACUCAGGUCUGGCCCAGCCAUCAUGAUGACGAGAGUCUGGGUAGGCCAAAUUUGAGUGAGUGGCACUGCAACUCCAUGAGUCAGGUCACAACUCCACUCUCACAAAUUUGGUCCAGUCAGGGGGCCGGGGCCAAACCUGAGUGGCGGUGAAACACCUGGAGUGGAGAGCCAAGCCCAGCCAGCCCCACAACACAGGAACUGCCACUGUGGGGUGAGUGCUAGGCAGGACUCAACCCCCCUCAGGGGUAGGAUCUGACUGAAACCACCCCAGGGCCUCCACCCCCAGUCUAUUUGCUGGGUUGCAACAAGCCAUAAACAUUUGCAAAGGGGUCCCUGAGCCCAACAAGGUUGAGAACCACUGAUCUAGCAUGAGACUUGAAACCUUUAACCUACUGUAUUGUUUUCACCAUCUUGAUACAAGAAGAUGUGUCCAUAACUAAUCACAUAUGGUGGAAAGAACACAUCUGUCAUCAGAAAAAAUCCGUAUGUCAUUUGAUGCACAUAUGAUUUUUGUAACCUCAGUAUGUUGGCUAUUCAUUAUACUUUUUGUAAUACUAAGCAUGAGCAGCACAUCAAGACAGUUUUUGAAUGCUUUCAAAAAUAUAAUAAUUUUUGAGCUAUAAAAGAAUAACAAAGCAAAUUCAAUUCCAGUAGUAUACCAGCUUGUUGCAUCUCAUUUCAUUCACAAUUGAAAUAGAGCUAUGGCUGAAGUCAAAUGAUUCAUUUUGUGUUUACAGCUGGUAAUUGUAUAAAGUACUUUGAAACUUUAAAAAGUUGUUAUAAAUUAACCAAGCUCGAAAUUGAUCAGUACUUUGAAGUUAUUACAUUAUUUCAAAAUGUUGGCUUAAUGCUUCUUGUCCUAAAACUGUCAAGAAAUUACUUCAGUAGUUAUGAAUUUUGGCAUUCAAUGAGGUUGUGUUAUUGAUAGGAAAUGAAAGAAUACACUAUGAGUGGUAAACUACAAACAUAUAUGGAUCAAAAUACUUGUGUAUUGAGACUUCAAUCACUCAAAUGGUCUAGAGACACUAUUGUACUUGAGCUGGUUUAGGAAGUGUGAAUGCAGUGUCUGUGAUCACUAUAACUGGCUGAUGGAAAAUGCUGUUAGAGUUAUUUAAAAAAAAAAGUUGUGAACUAUUCUUUUUUUUUUCUCUUGUGAUGACAUUCAAAUGUGUUCAGAUUAUAAGUGAAACAGUUUUUUUUUUCUAACUACUACAUUGCAAGCUCCACUUGUGAUAUGAAAUCAAGCUGAGUUCUUUCUCCCCCUUAUGUUGUUGCUAUUCCUGAUGGUAUCCUAGUUUUGAUUUUUUUUUUUUUUUUUUUGGACAGGGCCGUUCAAGUGCUCCAGCUGGUUUAUUAAACCAGGGUGUUUCAGUAGAACUGGCUUGGAUAUGUGGUCUGCCUAAUAUUGGCUGGUCCACUAUAGCCCUACUCUACUGCAUAGCACAGCAGCUUACAGUUGCUAAGCAGCUGCAGAUUCUUCUUUACCUUAGCUACCAAUCAGCUGUUCAGUGGAAGAAACAUCAGUUCCCUUUGAUCCAUUAAGAAGCGUAAGCAACAUGAAAACAUGAGCAGUGGGCAUGGCAAAAUUGUUCCUUUUCUGGCUGGCUAGUAGGGCCCCUGGCAAAAAUGCUUAAGGAUGAGAGAUGAAGGUAAACUUUAUGGAGCAGAAGAAGGAGGUGCUGAGGAAAGAGAGACACUGAUGGCGGGGUGAGGGAGAACUAGCAUAUGUGCACAAUGUAGAUUACAAAGAGAGCAGAUCUUACACAGAGCAAGGGAACACAGUCGGGAAAAGAAAUAUGAGAGAGGCCAAGAGCGCAACUCAGAAGGGAAAGAAACAGGAGAGAGAACAGGUUUCAGAGUUGCAGCCAUGUUAGUCUGUAUCCGCAAAAAGAAUAGGAGUAAAAUUUAUUAGUCUCUAAGGUGCCACAAGUACUCCUGUUCUUUUUGAGGAGAGAGAACAGUAUACAUAGGAGCAAGAAAUAAGGCAGGAACUUAAAAGGCCUGCAAAUGAUGGGAUAGAAUAAAUAAAUUGGUUAGUCUCUAAGGUGCCACAAGUACUCCUUUUCUUUUUGCGAAUACAGACUAACACGGCUGUUACUCUGAAACUUGUGUAGACACUUAUCCCAGUGAAAAGUGGGUGAAAAAUGCUAUCACAUUAGAAUGGUACCUUGCAUUUAUGCAUAUUUCUUAAUCCUACGUGCAUUUUUAACCCAUGCCUUUUACAUUUUUUAAAAUGUAUUAUAGCCUUUGCCUCUUAUUUAGAAUUGACCUUCCCAUGUUCUGUUUUUUAAAUUAAAUAACCCUAAUCCCAUUUCUAUCAUUAUUCUAAUAUAUUUUCUUAAAAUUAGUGUUAACCCUUUAAUUUAUUGCAUUUUUGACCCAAGCCUAUUUCCAAAUAUUUUUAUUUAUUUUAAUCCUUGAAGACUACUUUCAGAUUGCAAAACAGCUCUAAUCCCCAAACUCAAGUAAGCUCUCUCCACGCCUCCAGAGAGCUGUGACCUGCUCAUUUUCUCCACUCCCUCCUGAGAGGAGUCGGUGAUGAUGAGCCACUUUACUUCCCAACACCUUCCCUGCUGGUGAAGUCUUUCCUUUUCUCUGAGUGCAACUCCUUUCUCAACUGAUUAAUAAUAUGCUGAGGUAAGACUAGGGGCUACUGGGGUUGGAGCAGGUUCCUGGGACAGGGAAAGUAUUACAUAAGAACGGCCAUACUGGGUCAGACCAAAGGUCCAUCUGGCCCAGUGUCCUGUCUUCUGACAGUGGCCAAUGCCAGGUGCCCCAGAAGGAAUGAACAGAACAGGUGAUCAUCAAGUGAUCCAUCCCCUGUCGCCCAUUCCCAGCUUCUGGCAAACAGAGGUUAGGGAUACCAUCCCUGCCCAGCCUGGCUAAUAGCCAUUGAUGAACCUAUCCUCCAUGAACUUACCUAGUUCUUUUUUGGAACCCAGUUAUAGUCUUGGCCUUCACAACAUCCUCUGGCAAGGAGUUCCACACGUUGACUGUACGUUGUGGAGGGACGGGACUUCUUUUUGUUUGUUUUUAAAACUGCUGCCUAUUAAUUUCAUUUGGUGACCCCUAGUUAUUGUGUUAUGAGAAGGAGUAAAUAACACUUCCUUAUUUAUUUUUCUCCACACAAGUCAUGAUUUUAUAGACCUCUAUCAUAUCCCCCCUUAGUGAUCUCUUUUCUAAGGUGAAAAGUCCCAGUCUCAUUAAUCUCUCCUCAUAUAGAAGCCAUUCCAUACCCCUAAUUUUUGUUGCCCUUUUCUGAACCUUUUCCAAUUCCAGUAUAUAUUCUUUGAGAUGGGGCAAACACAUCUGCACACAGUAUUGCCUGUGCUUCUCCCAUUCCAGGUCUCUUUCUCCUGAGAGGACUCUGUAAACCAGCCUCCUGAGGGAGAUGCUCUCAAGGACCAGACUAACAUGGCUGCUACUCUGAAACCUGAACGAGGCUUGGAACUGUGAGCAAGGAAACUCUCUUCUGUUUGAUUCCUACUGUGCUGAAGGAAACAAGACUUUGACCAUUCUUUGUAAAUAAAUAGGAUUGCAUUAAAAAAAAAAAAGCCUGUCUCCAUCAUCAGUUUCUUUUUCUACCUGAAACAACCUGCAGGACCCUGGAAAUUAGCUAACCACUUGGGACAAACAGAGGUAACAGUAACUUGUACUGAUAGUGUCUUGCACUUACAUAGUUACUUUUGUGGGUGGAGCUCGAACUGCUCUACAAACAUUACGAUUCACAGUAUCCCAUUGACUUAUUUUUAUAUGCAUUUUACAGGUAGCACAAAAGUUAAAUGACUUAACCAAAUUCACGCAUGCCUCGUUUAUACAAAUCUGCGCUUUUACUGGUAUAGCUUUACUAUACCAGUACAAAGCACAGGUUUGCCAUUAUAGCUGCAUCCACACUAGGAAUGCUUUGCUGGAAUAGUAUCCUGAUAUUCCAGUAUCAGUAAGUGUUUGGUGUAGACACAGCCUAGGAGGUUUUUGCUAAUUUAGUUAUGCUGGUUGGUAUAACUAUCUUGGCAAAAUUUUCCUAGUGUAGACAAGGCCAUAGAGUGGUGGUGAUGCCAACAAAAAAAUUAACAAUACUCCUGUGCAGAGACCACAGCCUACCAUGCUGACGAAUACUAACUAUCUCAUUGUUUACUCCUAUUCCCCCUUCUGUCUAUAUAUGCAUCUAUUGUCUCUUAUGUUAUAUUUAGAUUGUAAGCUGUUUGGGACAGGGACUGUCUCUUUGUUCUGUGUUUUUACAGCACCUUGCACAAUGGGAUCCUGGUCCAUGACGAGGUCGCCUGGGUGCUGUGGUCAUACAAAUAAUAACAGUAGAGCGGGGAAAUGAAUUCAGUAUCCAAACUUCUGCUCCCUCACUCUAAACACUAGCUCACAUUUCCUGUAUGGCAUCUGGUAAAGAUGUUAAAUAUAAUACACUAUUAUCUUUCCUAAACAGGCUUCCUCCCUAAAAUGAAGGUGAAAAUAUAGUCUACCUUGAUGAGAGAACAUUCCAUGUGGUAAUACAGAAACUAGUUUGCUUUGCCACUCAUUGGCAGAAAGCAUAUCAACUUGUCAUUUCUCUUGAAGUACAGGAUUUGAGGGAAACAUUAAGGAACUUUUAAGUUCUUAAGUGUUGCUUAAUUACUGAGUCAUCAGUGUAGCACAAUAUUAAUAUAUUCCAUGAUUAGAUUUUUUUUUUAAGACAAUGCAAAAAUCUGUAAAGCGAAAAUUGUAGUCCUGAGGCAGGGGCUUCAGGAUUAAAUUAGCAAUUCAAAUUAAAACAAGUUGAGCUAUUUACUGGAUCAGAUUAUUUUUUUUUAAUUGUAAGAUUAUAUGAGUCAAACUAUAUGUUUUUAGAAUCUUGUUACACAGAAGAAGAAAAUUCUGCCUCAGGACUGGUUGAAAAGAGUCUUGUGACAGCUUACUAAAUUUCUGUUUACUUUUUUAGCACCAGAUUUCAAUGGGGUUCUGCACUGAGACAGGACUAUGCCUGAGUGCAUCACAUCACAGGGUAUUGACGUGUAUGGAAAUUAUAUGUUUCUGUGUGUGAUAGUAUCACACGCCAUGCUCUAAAAUAUAUUUUAAUCACAUUAUUAAAAAGUUGUGCCUGAAUAUUAAAAAAAAUCACUAUUUGGCAUCUAAUUUCUGGGAUAGAAUGCUUCCAGUUUUCCUCUGCCUUGGCUUGAUACCUGCAACAUUUAUAAGAUGAAUUUCAAGUGCUGCAGGGUGUGGGAUCUGCAGGUUGCUCAUGUUAAUUUCAACCUAAAUUCUCCGUCUUGGGCCUUCAGAGUAAAGUGGAUACAAAUACAUAUUUUUUUAUUUAAAUUUGUUUUUAUUUAAAUGUAUUUUUAUUUUUAAAUAUAAACCUGCUUAAACUUAAAUUUGAAAUUGACAACCUAUGUUAAGGUCUAAAUUUACUGUAAUCUAUUAAAAUAAAAUUUUAAAAAUAAUCUGCAUCAAUGAUCCCUCUUUGAAUUUUAGGAUGUUACUUUUUAAAUUAUAUAUAGAAUUAGGGGGAAACAUCUUGAACUUUUGAGAUCAACUCAAGCUUUAUAAAUGUCACAAUAUCAUGUAUCGCAUUAAGUAUCUAUCUGUGUAUUACUUUCAGUCUUUAUGAUGGAGAGAAUGCUGCUAUUUACAUUUUUCCAAAUGUAAGUUAUUUCAGUUUCUUUUGCCCAGAAAAUAUUUUGCUGUAAUUACUUUUCUUUUCAGUUUAACUAGCAGGUGGAGAGAGAGAGUUAAGCACUAAACUUCUGAAAAUCUCACUAGGCACUUAUCUGGAUCUUUAGGUACAUAUCCAUGGUGACAGUAAACAAUCCAUCAGUUCACUAUUUACUGUUCAUUCUUCCAUUGUUUUGCAUUUAAAAUUGAUUUAUUAAACGUUUUGAUAAACUUACUUUUUUUCUUGAUAUAAUCCAACACAUUUAAGGUAGUUUUGUUUAAUAAAAACAUUUUUAAAAUGCCGUUUUUGUAUGUUUUAAUCAAAUUUCUAUUUCUGUCCAAAUGCAGCUUGAUACAAAUAGAAAGUAAAAAAUUAUCUAAUAAGAAAUGAAUCAUUUACCAUUCUCUAAUAUAAAGUAAAAAUUAAGAAUCUGAAGAAGUGUAUAUUAUGCUACAUAAUUACUUACGUACAUAUGUAUAGAUAUAGUGCUGUCCUUGUUAGAAAAAAAAACAAAACAAACAACCCACCAGAUUUGGUGCAUAGGCUAUCAAAUGUGUUUUAAUUAUUAUACUAACCAAUGAAAGGGGUUUUUUAUUUAGAAAAAUAAAAAGUAGAGAUGCAAAAUAAGAUUAAAUUCAGUUAUUUAAAUCAAAGUUUCCUGAUUACUGAUCUGAUUUUUAAAUCACUUAUUAACAUCAAUCCUCCCCUUUAAAAGUGUAUUUACCCUCUGAAUUUAGGCAAGCCCUGCUAGCUCAGUGUUUGAAAGCACAAGGUCUUUCAUACAACAGCAAAAUGCAGUGUCUGACAAAUCAGACCUGCAAACUUUGAAUUAAAAAAAAAAAAGAGGAAGAAAACUGCAAUCACUUCUGUAGCUUUUUAUUUUUUGAAACUUAAUACUAAUAACUAGUAGGUUUUUUUUGUUGAUGUAUUUUAAUUUUUUUAGUGACUUCAGUACUGGUGAAAAGUAUGGGAUUGACAGCUCUUGAGCACUGAGUUCUCUUAUUGACCUGUGCUAAAAAAAUAUCCUUGGCACUGGAAUUACAAAUUCCCUCACAGGGUCUUCCUAAUCAUUUGCUUCAACCUUAACAUGAUGUGCUUUCACUACCUCUAGGGGGCAGAGGAGUUCAAUCUUUAUGCCCCUUCAAUUCCUGUCCUCUGCUGAAACUGUCAAUUAGUGCUAAUUGUAAUGAGGACAAGCAAUCACUGAAUACUGCUCUAAGACCACCAAACUCAUCUCUCAUUAGGUACCCAAGAUUAUAUAACUACUCUCAGUAGCUACCAGUCUGGGAUAGAUUUGAACUGGGAACCCAUAGGUGAAAGGUUCUGUAUCCCAAUGCACAGAACCAAAUAUCUUUUUAAAGCAAAAAUCUACUCCUUAUUGCCUUUUUAUAUUAAUUAUAACAGAAUUUUUAAGUGCAAUCCCAACAUCCCCUCCCCAAUUAGAAUGUCAAUAUACAAAAUUUCUCUAUCUUCUGCCAUUGUUUUCAUUUCACAUUAUCUACCUAAAAAAAAAAUAUGCUGAUUUUUCUUUCCAAGAAAAACAAAAUAAUUCAGGUGGAUUGCUGUGUAGUAAUAUCUGCUUAACUGAUUGACUUUUAAAAUGAGAGGCAACAUAGUCCAAUGACCAGGACACCUAGGUUCUGUGUCUUCCAUUUACAUGCUGUGAGAGGCCCACUGUCUCUCUGCCUUUAUUUCUUCUUACACCCUUUGUCUGUCUUGUCAGGUUAGCCUGUAAGCUCUUUGGGGGAGGGACUAUCUCUUAGGAUGUGUGUGUACAUAAGAGAAUGGGGGCCUGAUCUCUGUUGGAAUUUCUAGAAACUACUGAAAUACAAAUAAAUAAUUAUGAGUAGCAUAAGUGCAGACACAAAAACAGUUGCAGCAGGUACAGCAGCUGCCUGGUGGGGAGGAUGGGGAGAUGAGACCCAUCUGGAGCUACUUCUCCAGUUCCAGCUCAACCUGGACCUAAAGCAAAAGGAGUUGCAACUAGGAGCUUUGGAACAUGCAGACGCUGAUGAUGUCAUCACACUCUCUCUUCUCAGUUUUUACUCUGGACAGUCUCUCCCCUGUGCUGAUUGGCUGUGUGCUCCAACUUCCCCUGCCUCCUUCCUCAGUGUUCUUUCUAUUUGCUUUGCUCCAUCUCCCCUCCACUACCUCUGAUGUCUCCUCUUCCUUCCUUUGGGUUUUUGUUUAGCUAAUUCCUCCUAGUAAAACCCCACCCAGAAACCACCAACCAGCCAACACUUUGGAACUAACAUGUUAUUUGAAAACCAUCACAUUUCUUCUUCUGCCUGUAUGUUAUAUUCUUUUUGUCUUGUCUAUUUAAGAUUGUAAGCUCUUCAAGGCAGAGACUGUCUCAUACUCUGUAUGUACAUGCCCUACUUCAAUGGGAUCUCUAGCCACUAUAGUAAUACAAAUAACAAUAUGUAAGCAGAGUCAGGAUGAGCUCUACCUUGACAUUUGGUGGCGAGUCAUGGUGGGUUGUGGAAAAGAACUUCAGGGGCUUAUCUCAUUUGCAUAGGCACACCCACCCUGCCUAGAUGGUCACUUUGGCUGCUGUAGGAGCCCCAGUUUCUCUGUUAUUGGGGCAGGAAUAAAUUGUUGUUAUCCUGAUUAUGUGAAUCAAGGACAGUGGAACUGUACUUGGCCUUUUGUUAUGAUGGAGGGACUCGCCAUCAACUAAGUAGCACUCGCUAGGCAUGGGUCAUGGGUUCCAAAACCCAGUGAAGGGAGAGAGGCUGGGAACAGGUAUUAAUACUUGGUGGUAUGGGCCCCUUGGUGAGGGCCUUACAUGUUAAUUACACUUCCUCCUCUCUCCACUGUGGAAUGUCAGAGCUAAUUUUGAUUCCAUUAGGAGUCUAGUUACAGGCUACUGAGCUGAAUUCACUUUGGGCUAAUGGUGCAGCAGCACUGAGGCUCCCCUACUACAAGCUGAAAUCACAAAAGAGCUAAACUUACUAAGAGCUGAAAAGAGCUGAAUUGUGUUAAGUAGUGGGAGAGCCUGAAGAUAUAUUGUGGAGCAGAGCAGUUUGUGGGACGGCUGGCAGAGCGGAGCCCCAUGGAGAGGUGGGACAAUCAGCUUUGGACCACGUAAGGUGCCCCUUAGCCCCUCUCCCCCAUCUCCACCCAGGUUGGGAGGUAAAACUCUGCAGAUAAACUUUUGAACUCUGGGGCCGCCCUGACCAGGGACAGAGAUUUUUGGGUUGUGGGACUUUGGGUAAUUUUGGGUUGAUGGACUCAAGAACCAAAGGGAAAGGACAAGCCCCAGUUUGCUUGGGGUGGGUUUUUUGCUCAUGGGUUGUGUUAUGAAUCCUGUUGGUGGUGUUUCCCCAACAUAAUGCCAUAUUGUUUCUCUCUGUUAUUAAAAGGCUUUUUGCUACACUCAGACUCUGUGCUUGCCAGAGGGGAAGUAUUGCCUCUUGGAGGUGCCCAGCGGGGGUGGUAUAUAUUUGUCCCAGGUCACUGGGUGGAGGCUCGAGCCAGUUUUGCAUUGUGUUAUUGGAAUGGAACCCCUAGAUACUGAACCCAGCCCUUGUUGCUGCCAACUCUGAUGGGCAGAAGGGUUACAAAUAUAAUUGGAAUAUUUUGAAAAAAGAAAUAAGGUCCUGAGUUUUCAAAGACUUAUGUACAUGUUUCACUUUAAGCAUCUGAGUCAUUCUAUUGACUUCAAUUGGACUACUUGUUCUUAUCUUUAAGAAUAUGCAUAAGUAUUUUGGGGCCUAAAAUUAUAUGUGCUCACCAAAGAAAAACUAUUCGAUAUUUUCAAUAAUAAGUUUUAAAGGUUUAUUCUAGAAAUAAAA